UAACGCGUGAGAACAUGCCUUUAGAUUGGGGACAACAGUUGGAAACGACUGCUAAUACCGAAUGUGCCUUAGGGUGAAAGAUUUAUUGUCUAGAGAUUGGCUCGCGUCAGAUUAGCUAGUUGGAGUGGUAACGGCACACCAAGGCGACGAUCUGUACUUGGUCUGAGAGGAUGACCAGGCACACUGGAACUGAGACACGGUCCAGACUCCUACGGGAGGCAGCAGUGGGGAAUUUUCCGCAAUGGGCGAAAGCCUGACGGAGCAAUACCGCGUGAGGGAGGACGGCUUUUGGGUUGUAAACCUCUUUUAUCAGGGAAGAAUCGAUGACGGUACCUGAUGAAUCAGCAUCGGCUAACUCCGUGCCAGCAGCCGCGGUAAUACGGAGGAUGCAAGCGUUAUCCGGAAUUAUUGGGCGUAAAGCGUCCGUAGGUGGUUUAUCAAGUCUGCUGUCAAAGCGUGCGGCUUAACCGCAUAAGGGCAGUGGAAACUGAUGAACUAGAGUGCGAUAGGGGUAACAGGAAUUCCCAGUGUAGCGGUGAAAUGCGUAGAUAUUGGGAAGAACACCAGCGGCGAAAGCGUGUUACUGGGUCUGCACUGACACUGAGGGACGAAAGCUAGGGGAGCGAAAGGGAUUAGAUACCCCUGUAGUCCUAGCCGUAAACGAUGACAACUAGGCGUGGUUCGUAUCGACCCGAGCCGUGCCGUAGCCAACGCGUUAAGUUGUCCGCCUGGGGAGUACGCACGCAAGUGUGAAACUCAAAGGAAUUGACGGGGGCCCGCACAAGCGGUGGAGUAUGUGGUUUAAUUCGAUGCAACGCGAAGAACCUUACCAAGGCUUGACAUCCUCGGAACCCUGAUGAAAGUUAGGGGUGCCUUCGGGAGCCGAGAGACAGGUGGUGCAUGGCUGUCGUCAGCUCGUGUCGUGAGAUGUUGGGUUAAGUCCCGCAACGAGCGCAACCCACGUUUUUAGUUGCCAGCAUUCAGUUGGGCACUCUAGAGAGACUGCCGGUGACAAACCGGAGGAAGGUGUGGAUGACGUCAAGUCAGCAUGCCCCAUACGCCUUGGGCUACACACGUACUACAAUGCGUCGGACAAAGAGCAGCCAGCCAGCGAUGGUGAGCCAAUCUCAUAAACCGACGCUCAGUUCAGAUUGCAGGCUGCAACUCGCCUGCAUGAAGGCGGAAUCGCUAGUAAUCGCAGGUCAGCAUACUGCGGUGAAUACGUUCCCGGGCCUUGUACACACCGCCCGUCACACCAUGGGAGUUGGUCACGCCCGA
This 1278-nucleotide ribosomal RNA is filed under the name Leptolyngbya boryana LEGE 15486. Its description in RNAcentral is "bacterial SSU rRNA". It matches the Rfam family "Bacterial small subunit ribosomal RNA", at positions 111 to 1424 of the family's 1533-position model. The record is from RNAcentral. Lineage: Bacteria; Bacillati; Cyanobacteriota; Cyanophyceae; Leptolyngbyales; Leptolyngbyaceae.